UAUUUAAUUCUUGUUGAUUCAGUGUUGUAAAUGAUGAUUGUAUGAUAGAUGAUUCACCUUGGAUUUGAAUACAAUUUAGUGUCUCCUUUUGAUUUUAAAUUUCAGCGUAAAUGAUGAUUGUAUGAUAGAUGAUGUCCGACCUUGGAUUUGAAUACAAUUUCGGUGUAAAUAAUGAUUUUUUUUUUCUGAAAUGCAGCUGGACAGGUUCAUUCCCAAUUGCACUGCGAUGGAUUUUGACUAUGCACAUUACAUGCUCAGUGGUGGCUAGGUUAAAAAGGAACACGUUGGAGUAAAUUCUUCAUCUAAAGAAGCUUACUUAAAGCUGUUAGCACAAGUUUUCAACAUGAACAAAACGAGAUCCUUGCUUUUAAGAAUAAACCUCCGCCUUUGGUUGAGAGAGUUUCCGAAUCUCCAUCAAAUAUUCAACAGUCAAAAGCCGUUAUACAUUCCCCAAUCUGCGUAGAGUACCCUGGAUGCUCCUGACAUCCUAGAUGAUUUUUGUCUCAAUUUGUUAGACUGGGGAGCAGUAAUGUUAUUGCCAUUGGGUUAGGGAAUUCUGUAUAUCUGUGGGAUCCUACACGCACGUCGUUGUUGAUGAUCAUACUAUUCAUGCCUCCAGUUGUCAGUAUAUGGCCACCAUUCCAAUCAAGUGAGCCAACCCUUAAUCUGUGUCCUUGUAAUGUCCUCAGCUGUGUAAAAAGAAAGAUGUUAGACUUGUGAUAAUAAUUAGACUAGAAGAAGGAAGAAGGCGAAAGAAACCACUUACCAAUUGGCUAGACCCCUGCAAGGUGUCCCACAGCUGAACGUGCGAAUUAUUCAAGGCAACUGCAAGCUGACGCUAGUCACCGGCUCAGAAUCAUCACCAACCGUGAGAAGCUCAGUAGUCGAAGCAUGCCACGGAUAAUUCCCCUAACCCAAUGUAUGAAAAUAUUUAGACACCCUUUUCCCUUUACUAAAAGCUGCUGCAAACAAAAACUGAAAAUACAAACAGCAGCUAAUAUACAAGAAUCAAGAAAAUCCUGUAGAAGAGUGUACUUGCUAGCAGUGGUUGUAGUACUUGUUGAUGGGGGAAAUGGGGAUUUUGAUUAAGUGGUGAUUAACAUAUGUAAUAUUAAUUGAUGUAUAGUUAUAAGUUUUGGAAAAUAAGUAAUUUAUGUUGACAAUAAAGUAUUAUUUUUUUGA
This is a long non-coding RNA of Capsicum annuum, 1182 nucleotides long. RefSeq lists it as uncharacterized. NCBI's taxonomy places the organism in Eukaryota, Viridiplantae, Streptophyta, Magnoliopsida, Solanales, Solanaceae. The transcript is spliced from 2 exons. The record is from RefSeq and is a predicted model, not a curated record.